Molecule: ribosomal RNA, 409 nt
Filed under: bacterium
Lineage: Bacteria
Description: partial 16S ribosomal RNA
Rfam family: Bacterial small subunit ribosomal RNA
Source: RNAcentral
UGGGGAAUAUUGCACAAUGGGCGAAAGCCUGAUGCAGCGACGCCGCGUGAGGGAUGACGGCCUUCGGGUUGUAAACCUCUUUCAGCAGGGACGAAGCGCAAGUGACGGUACCUGCAGAAGAAGCACCGGCUAACUACGUGCCAGCAGCCGCGGUAAUACGUAGGGUGCAAGCGUUGUCCGGAAUUACUGGGCGUAAAGAGUUCGUAGGCGGUUUGUCGCGUCGUUUGUGAAAACCAGCAGCUCAACUGCUGGCUUGCAGGCGAUACGGGCAGACUUGAGUACUGCAGGGGAGACUGGAAUUCCUGGUGUAGCGGUGAAAUGCGCAGAUAUCAGGAGGAACACCGGUGGCGAAGGCGGGUAUCUGGGCAGUAACUGACGCUGAGGAACGAAAGCGUGGGUAGCGAACAGG